AGUGAACGCUGGCGGUAGGCCUAACACAUGCAAGUCGAACGGCAGCACAGUAAGAGCUUGCUCUUACGGGUGGCGAGUGGCGGACGGGUGAGGAAUACAUCGGAAUCUACUUUUUCGUGGGAGAUAACGUAGGGAAACUUACGCUAAUACCGCAUACGAUCUACGGGUGAAAGCAGGGGAUCUUCGGACCUUGCGCGAUUGAAUGAGCCGAUGUCGGAUUAGCUAGUUGGCGGGGUAAAGGCCCACCAAGGCGACGAUCCGUAGCUGGUCUGAGAGGAUGAUCAGCCACACUGGAACUGAGACACGGUCCAGGCUCCUACGGGACGCAGCAGUGGGGAAUAUUGGACAAUGGGCGCAAGCCUGAUCCAACCAUACCGCGUGGGUGAAGAAGGCCUUCGGGUUGUAAAGCCCUUUUGUUGGGAAAGAAAAGCAGCAGGUUAAUACCCCGCUGUUCUGACGGUACCCAAAGAAUAAGCACCGGCUAACUUCGUG
RNAcentral lists this ribosomal RNA (492 nucleotides) under uncultured bacterium. Its description in RNAcentral is "partial 16S ribosomal RNA". It matches the Rfam family "Bacterial small subunit ribosomal RNA", at positions 29 to 507 of the family's 1533-position model. The record is from RNAcentral.